RNAcentral lists this ribosomal RNA (253 nucleotides) under uncultured bacterium. RNAcentral's name for it is "partial 16S ribosomal RNA". It matches the Rfam family "Bacterial small subunit ribosomal RNA", at positions 524 to 776 of the family's 1533-position model. The record is from RNAcentral.
UACGAAGGGGGCUAGCGUUGCUCGGAAUCACUGGGCGUAAAGGGUGCGUAGGCGGGUCUUUAAGUCAGGGGUGAAAUCCUGGAGCUCAACUCCAGAACUGCCUUUGAUACUGAAGAUCUUGAGUUCGGGAGAGGUGAGUGGAACUGCGAGUGUAGAGGUGAAAUUCGUAGAUAUUCGCAAGAACACCAGUGGCGAAGGCGGCUCACUGGACAGUUCCUGACGCUGAGGCACGAAGGCCAGGGGAGCAAACGGG